This is a non-coding RNA of Pantherophis guttatus, 1186 nucleotides long. NCBI's taxonomy places the organism in Eukaryota, Metazoa, Chordata, Lepidosauria, Squamata, Colubridae. The record is from RefSeq and is a predicted model, not a curated record.
UUGCAAUUGCAGAUGAAGCUUCCUUGGGGAGCAAUUCCCAGCAUGGUGCUAUCAUUCGGUGGGACGGAGUUUGUCGUGCUGACAGUCAAAAGGUGGAGGAAAAAAAAAAUCCAGUUCCUUGAAACAGCUGGGAAGAAUAGAAGGAGUGAACCAGAAGAGGCUACCACCGCCACUGUCCACCCCUCCUGAUUUCCAGAUCUGGCUGUCCAGAUUUCCUUCGGCAUCGCAGCCGGAGCACUGACCGAGCGAUGAGGCUACAUUGGGAUGAGGGCAUCAACCCAGCUGUUUUUUUUUUUGGUGCUUCCUACCACUCCCUCUUUGGAGUUUCUGGUUUCAGCCGCGAGGGAGAAACAGGUUUUAAGGAGGAGGUUUGGCCCAGCCGCUGGUUUGAAAAGGAGAAAUUCAAGCUUGCCGAUGGGCGUGGGGAGGGUGGAGCAAAGGAAAGUUUCGGUGUUCGGCAAGAGGCGAAACCACGUUUCUGAAGGUGUAACUUUCUUUUUUUUUUUUUUUUUUUGCAAAAAGUUUUUUUAUUUUUUAAACAAACACAACAUAAAAACAUCGUCCUUCCAAAACAAUCACGGACAGUGUUUCAUCGGUUAAAAUUCAUUUCGUGCUCUCAAAGAAUUUUCACAGUGUCAUUAUAUGACAAAUGUUCUUUUCCUCUAGCAGAAAACAAAUAUUUAAACAUUUUAUCCAAAUUUCAUGACCAAAUUUCAUGAUCCUGACCAAAAUGGAUUCCUGCCAAAAAGACAAAUUAGAGACAAUAUAAGAAUAAUUUUGGAUACCUUAGAAUAUUAUGAAGCUCAUCCUGAAAAGCAGAUGGCUUUGAUAUUUCUAGAUGCACAAAAAGCCUUUGAUAAUGUGAAUUGGCGAUUUAUGAUGUUACAAAUGGAGGAGAUGGGCUUUGGAAAGAAAUUUCUUCAGGCAAUUGAAGCUAUAUACUCUAAACAAAAGGCGAAGGUUAUGAUAAAUGGAGAACUGUCUGAUUUUAUUGAAGGUGUAACUAUUUCUUAUGGAGGGAGCUUAAUUUCGGGGUUAAAUCUCCCCGUGCUCUGCGAACAGAUCUCAGAUAUGGCUUUGGAGAGUGACUUUGGGUAGAAAAGGCUAUCGUAGGCAAGCCCCAUCCUUUCUGAGAACCAUGAGGACUGGAAACUUACUGCCGUUCCAAAUGAAUUUAUUUAUUCAA